Molecule: long non-coding RNA, 585 nt
Organism: Esox lucius (northern pike)
Lineage: Eukaryota; Metazoa; Chordata; Actinopteri; Esociformes; Esocidae
Source: Ensembl
CGGCGGGGUUCCGGGAGCCGGGGGGACCGGCGGGGGUUCAGGGGCCGGGGUGACCGGCGGAGGUUCAGGGGCCGGGGUGACCGGCGGAGGUUCAGGGGCCGGGGUGACCGGCGGAGGUUCAGGGGCCGGGGUGACCGGCGGGGUGUCAGGAGCCGGGGUGACCGGCGGGGUGUCAGGAGCCGGGGUGACCGGCGGGGUGUCAGGAGCCGGGGUGACCGGCGGGGUGUCAGGAACCGGGGAGGCCGGCGAAGGUUCAGGGGCCGGGGUGACCGGCGGGGUGUCAGGAGCCGGGGUGACCGGCGGGGUGUCAGGAGCCGGGGUGACCGGCGGGGUGUCAGGAGCCGGGGUGACCGGCGGAGUGUCAGGAGCCGGGGGGACCGGCGGAGGUUCAGGGGCCGGGGUGACCGGCGGAGGUUCAGGGGCCGGGGUGACCGGCGGAGGUUCAGGGGCCGGGGUGACCGGCGGAGGACCGGCAGCCAGGGGAGGACCGGCGGCCGGGGGAGCCGGCGAAGGUCUAUGACUUGGCUGAGGAACAGGGGCCGGCUGAGGGCCAGGGGCCGGCUGAGGGCCAGGGGCCGGCUGAGG